Molecule: unclassified non-coding RNA, 25 nt
Filed under: Mus musculus (house mouse)
Lineage: Eukaryota; Metazoa; Chordata; Mammalia; Rodentia; Muridae
Description: oocyte_clustered_small_RNA12061
Source: RNAcentral
CGACGACGGAAACAGCAAAGAGUCG